ACGUCAGGGUGGGUGUGUGCUCCAACAGAGACCGUCUUCUCCUCAACGGCGACUUGGUGACCAGGACAUCCACAGGGGACAGAAGAAGCUGACUACCUGGUGGGGAAAACAAUAAGUAUCUCAAAUUACUUCUCAGGAAGAUGGACUGCCUGCCCAAGUCCCCUGUCUUUUCAGAGGACACCUCAGGCAGGGAAGCCCGGAGCUGCCAAUUCCCACUUCCAGCCCCUGCCUCUGAGCCAGGUGGACAGAGCCAGGCCAAAGGAGGAGGAAGAGGAGGGAGAGCUACUUCGGAUUCAGCAGACCGGGACACUCGCCAAGAACAUGAGUAGCAGAGAGAAUGCCUGGCACACACACAAAAAAAUAAGUACCCGAAAAUGGAUUCCUGAUAUCAGAAACAAAAUUUGAUUUUUUUGUUUUCCAAACGUUCCUUUAAAACAGUUGCCUGCCACCAUUAUUAUUUCAUUACAAAAUAUUUCCCUUGAACUUUCAAGGGAGAAUCUUUUAAGGCUGCCCUCUCAGAACUUUUUCCCCAAUCUGUUUUCAGUGGAAAAAACUUAGUAUUUCAGUCAGGGAGAGAUAGGUGGUGCAUUAGGUGGCAUGAGUUAAUCAUGCCAAAUGAGGGAGAUAAAGGGAGGUUACCCAGGAAAAACCUGAGUAGGAAAUUUAAAAGGCAGGUGAAAAGGAAUUUGAUUAUAAAUUUCCUCAAGAGAUUUACUUUAAAUUCUCAACACCAAAUCUUUUCCUAAACAUCAUUGUGAAAGGUACGGUUUUCUCCACUGACUACUGGCACUGGGUAAUGUUUUGA
Long non-coding RNA from Tachyglossus aculeatus (Australian echidna), 805 nucleotides. RefSeq lists it as uncharacterized. NCBI's taxonomy places the organism in Eukaryota, Metazoa, Chordata, Mammalia, Monotremata, Tachyglossidae. The record is from RefSeq and is a predicted model, not a curated record. The transcript has 3 exons.